This 1112-nucleotide ribosomal RNA is filed under the name uncultured cyanobacterium. RNAcentral's name for it is "bacterial SSU rRNA". It matches the Rfam family "Bacterial small subunit ribosomal RNA", at positions 389 to 1514 of the family's 1533-position model. The record is from RNAcentral. Lineage: Bacteria; Bacillati; Cyanobacteriota.
GAGCAAUACCGCGUGAGGGAGGAAGGCCUUUGGGUUGUAAACCUCUUUUCUGGGGGAAGAAGCAAGUGACGGUACCCCAGGAAUCAGCAUCGGCUAACUCCGUGCCAGCAGCCGCGGUAAUACGGAGGAUGCAAGCGUUAUCCGGAAUUAUUGGGCGUAAAGCGUCCGCAGGUGGUCCAUCAAGUCUGCUGUCAAAGACCGGAGCUCAACUCCGGGCAGGCAGUGGAAACUGGUGAACUAGAGUACGGUAGGGGUAGAGGGAAUUCCCAGUGUAGCGGUGAAAUGCGUAGAGAUUGGGAAGAACACCAGUGGCGAAGGCGCUCUACUGGGCCGUAACUGACGCUCAGGACGAAAGCUAGGGGAGCGAAAGGGAUUAGAUACCCCUGUAGUCCUAGCUGUAAACGAUGGAUACUAGGCGUUGCUUGUAUCGACCCGAGCAGUGCCGUAGCUAACGCGUUAAGUAUCCCGCCUGGGGAGUACGCACGCAAGUGUGAAACUCAAAGGAAUUGACGGGGGCCCGCACAAGCGGUGGAGUAUGUGGUUUAAUUCGAUGCAACGCGAAGAACCUUACCAGGGCUUGACAUGUCCGGAAUCUCGGGGAAACUCGAGAGUGCCUUCGGGAGCCGGAACACAGGUGGUGCAUGGCUGUCGUCAGCUCGUGUCGUGAGAUGUUGGGUUAAGUCCCGCAACGAGCGCAACCCUCGUCCUUAGUUGCCAGCCUUAAGUGGGGCACUCUAGGGAGACUGCCGGUGACAAACCGGAGGAAGGUGGGGAUGACGUCAAGUCAGCAUGCCCCUUACGUCCUGGGCGACACACGUACUACAAUGGUCGGGACAAAGGGCAGCGAACUCGCGAGAGUAAGCGAAUCUCAGCAAACCCGGCCUCAGUUCAGAUUGCAGGCUGCAACUCGCCUGCAUGAAGGAGGAAUCGCUAGUAAUCGCAGGUCAGCAUACUGCGGUGAAUUCGUUCCCGGGCCUUGUACACACCGCCCGUCACACCAUGGAAGCUGGCCACGCCCGAAGUCGUUACCCUAACCCUUAGGGGAGGGGGACGCCGAAGGCAGGGCUAGUGACUGGGGUGAAGUCGUAACAAGGUAGCCGUACCGGAAGGUG